AUUGUAUGUCAUUAGACAUCUUGUAUGAUAGUGGCAAAACACCCUUCCAAAGUUGGGUUCACCUCACCCUAUUAUUGUUCACCAAAAUCAAUUAUUAAGUGACGUAUAAUAUACGACACACACAUCUUAGGUCCUCAAUACAAUUAUAUAUUGUAUGUCAUGCCGUUUUAUAAUGUGUUGAGAAACUUUGACAGUCUCGGACCACCACACUAUUCCCC
This 218-nucleotide long non-coding RNA is filed under the name Panax ginseng (ginseng). RNAcentral's name for it is "long non-coding RNA (PGIN_LNC011844)". The record is from RNAcentral. Lineage: Eukaryota; Viridiplantae; Streptophyta; Magnoliopsida; Apiales; Araliaceae.